UACGGGGGGGGCAAGCGUUGUUCGGAAUUACUGGGCGUAAAGGGCUCGUAGGCGGCCAACUAAGUCAGACGUGAAAUCCCUCGGCUUAACCGGGGAACUGCGUCUGAUACUGGAUGGCUUGAGUUUGGGAGAGGGAUGCGGAAUUCCCGGUGUAGUGGUGAAAUGCGUAGAGAUCGGGAGGAACACCUGUGGCGAAGGCGGGUUGCUGGGCCGACACUGACGCUGAUGCGCGAAAGCCAGGGGAGCGAACGGG
RNAcentral lists this ribosomal RNA (253 nucleotides) under uncultured bacterium. RNAcentral's name for it is "partial 16S ribosomal RNA". It matches the Rfam family "Bacterial small subunit ribosomal RNA", at positions 524 to 776 of the family's 1533-position model. The record is from RNAcentral.